GAUGAGAACGCAGCGAAAUGCGAUACGUAGUGUGAAUUGCAGAAUUCAGUGAAUCAUCGAAUCUUUGAACGCACAUUGCGCCCCUUGGUAUCCCGAGGGGCAUGCCUGUUCGAGCGUCAUUUCACCACUCAAGCCUGGCUUGGUGUUGGGCGACGUCCUCUUUGGGGACGCGCCUCGAAACGCUCGGCGGCGUGGCACCGGCUUUAAGCGUAGCAGAAUCUUUCGCUUUGGAAGUCGGGGCCCCGUCUGCCGGAAGACCUGCUCGCAAGGUUGACCUCGGAUCAGGCAGGGAUACCCGCUGAACUUAAGCAUAUCAAUAAGCGGAGGA
Molecule: unclassified non-coding RNA, 328 nt
Filed under: soil metagenome
Description: partial contains 5.8S ribosomal RNA, internal transcribed spacer 2, and large subunit ribosomal RNA
Rfam family: 5.8S ribosomal RNA (bases 5-119)
Source: RNAcentral